Molecule: ribosomal RNA, 313 nt
Filed under: uncultured Kickxellales
Lineage: Eukaryota; Fungi; Kickxellomycota; Kickxellomycetes; Kickxellales
Description: eukaryotic LSU rRNA
Rfam family: Eukaryotic large subunit ribosomal RNA (bases 258-313)
Source: RNAcentral
AGUAGUGAUCGUGAAUCAUCGAAUCUUUGAACGCAACUUGCACCUGAUAGCAAUUGUUAUCAGGUAUACUUGUUUGAGUAUCAUCAACGCCCUCUCACCUAAUAGUGGGGAAUUGAGCGUCUUGAAAUAGUCGCUUUAAAAGGAGACCUGGAGUGCCUAUGAACGCAAGGUCUAUUGGGAUAACAUCCUAACAAUAGACUGUUCACAAGGACGUUGGCAACAACACUGGGAAACGUCUUCGGACAACUUUUGAACACUGAUCUCAAAUCAAGUAAGGAUACCCGCUGAAUUUAAGCAUAUCAAUAAGCGGAGG